AGUAUGAUUUCUGGGUCAUAUGAUCAGACUUUGUUUUGUAAAAAAUCACUCAACUAACUGUUUUCCAAUGUGACUUUAUCAUUUUUAAUUUCCACCAGUCAU
RNAcentral lists this microRNA precursor (102 nucleotides) under Marmota monax (woodchuck). The record is from RNAcentral. Lineage: Eukaryota; Metazoa; Chordata; Mammalia; Rodentia; Sciuridae.